This 433-nucleotide ribosomal RNA is filed under the name uncultured bacterium. RNAcentral describes it as "partial 16S ribosomal RNA". It matches the Rfam family "Bacterial small subunit ribosomal RNA", at positions 29 to 507 of the family's 1533-position model. The record is from RNAcentral.
AGCGAACGCUGGCGGCAGGCCUAACACAUGCAAGUCGAACGGAUCCUUCGGGAUUAGUGGCGGACGGGUGAGUAACACGUGGGAACGUGCCCUUUGGUUCGGAACAACUCAGGGAAACUUGAGCUAAUACCGGAUGUGCCCUUCGGGGGAAAGAUUUAUCGCCAUUGGAGCGGCCCGCGUCUGAUUAGCUAGUUGGUGAGGUAACGGCCCACCAAGGCGACGAUCAGUAGCUGGUCUGAGAGGAUGAGCAGCCACACUGGGACUGAGACACGGCCCAGACUCCUACGGGAGGCAGCAGUGGGGAAUCUUGCGCAAUGGGCGAAGGCCUGACGCAGCCAUGCCGCGUGAAUGAUGAAGGUCUUAGGAUUGUAAAAUUCUUUCAGCGGGGACGAUAAUGACGGUACCCGCAGAAGAAGCUCCGGCUAACUUCGUG